GUCCUUACUUGGUAAGUACAUAUACUCAAAUUGGAGCAAUACAGAGUUUAGCACAACCACUAUGAAAAGAUGACACACAAAUUUGUGAAGUGUUUCAUAUUUUU
RNAcentral lists this small nuclear RNA (104 nucleotides) under Microtus ochrogaster (prairie vole). Lineage: Eukaryota; Metazoa; Chordata; Mammalia; Rodentia; Cricetidae. The record is from RNAcentral.